CAGGUAUCUUGCCUCCUGGAGAUACUUGCAUUGCAGCAAGUUGGGCAGCAUACAACUGCUGCAGUUGGAGCGGGCCUAGGCCUGGUGUUGCUGCGGCAGCAGCUGCCAUGGUAGUCGGGAUCAGCUGAACAGGGUAGGGGUCACUGCAUCCCGCUUUGUAGCUGAAACCAGGAGGAAGAAGGAAUCCUUGCUGAGCAGCUGCUGCUAGGGUUCGUUGGUCUGGAGGGAAUACGGGAAUCAUUAAUGGAGGCAGCUGACCCUGGACCUGGAUCUGUUGCUGAAGAAGGUUAAUUUUGUGUUGCUGCUGCAGGAGCUGCUGCUGUUGUCUUGCAAUCUGUUCCUGUUGCUGCUUAGCCAGCUCCAUUUGCUGGCGUUGCUUCUCGAUCUGUGAGGCAGCCAGUUUCUUCUGUUCAUCGUGAGCUGCUAGCAGCUGUUCUCGCAAACUGGUCAGC
This 452-nucleotide long non-coding RNA is filed under the name Gallus gallus (chicken). Lineage: Eukaryota; Metazoa; Chordata; Aves; Galliformes; Phasianidae. The record is from RNAcentral.